This 376-nucleotide ribosomal RNA is filed under the name uncultured bacterium. RNAcentral's name for it is "bacterial SSU rRNA". It matches the Rfam family "Bacterial small subunit ribosomal RNA", at positions 524 to 898 of the family's 1533-position model. The record is from RNAcentral.
CACGUAGGAGGCGAACGUUAUCCGGAUUUACUGGGCGUAAAGCGCGUGUAGGUGGUUCUGUAAGUAGGGCGUGAAAGCUCCUGGCUCAACUGGGAGAGGCCGUUCUAAACUGCAGGACUAGAGGAUGGUAGAGGGAGGUGGAAUUCCAGGUGUAGCGGUGGAAUGCGCAGAUAUCUGGAGGAACACCAGUGGCGAAGGCGGCCUCCUGGACCAUUCCUGACACUCAGACGCGAAAGCUAGGGUAGCAAACGGGAUUAGAGACCCCGGUAGUCCUAGCCCUAAACGAUGUAGACUAGGCGUCGGUGGUUUAAUCACCAUCGGUGUCCAAGCUAACGCGAUAAGUCUACCGCCUGGGGACUACGGCCGCAAGGUUAAA